Molecule: long non-coding RNA, 1608 nt
Organism: Acanthopagrus latus (yellowfin seabream)
Lineage: Eukaryota; Metazoa; Chordata; Actinopteri; Spariformes; Sparidae
Exons: 2
Source: RefSeq, a predicted model, not a curated record
UUCACACACCCUCACAUGAAGUUGUGAGACUACAGCUGCCGGAGUCGUGACUGGAAAACGACACAAGAGACUCACAGCACUCGACCUCCAUCUCAAGCUGCUGUCGGGCUUUUAAACACAACAAGCCCCUAAAAAACACAGAGACUUAUGAAGAGUUUCUCCGGAGAAAACAAACCGACUCUGCUUUGAGGGCUUUUCAGCGGAGCGAGACAAACCUCACGACGAGUGACUUCUGAGCAGCCACCACCACUGUGGCGCACAUCCCCGUAGGGUUGCGUCGUCACCGUCAACUUCAACAAAAAAGAUCGGAUAUUUCCCUCGCAGCGCAGUCACGGACUCUUCACAGAUUGUGAAAGCGAACAUGUUGCAAAGCUUCAGUCAGUCGCAGAGUUUGAUGAAGGACCAAAACACUGGAACCUGCUGCAGCACUCCACACAGCAGGUUUCAGCAGGAGAACAUGGAUUCACCUGCAGAGGAGGAUCUCACCUGUCCUGUCUGCAGGGACGUCUUCAAAGAGCCUGUCGUCCUGUCAUGCAGCCACAGCUUCUGUAGAGACUGUCUGCACAAGCGCUGGACAGACAGACAGACACAGGAGUGUCCACUUUGUAAGAGACGGUCAUCAAUGACCAUUAUUCCACCUGAUCUUACAGACCUGCUGUUGAAGGAGCUGACAGAGGAGAACUUCAGCAGCUCCUCUGAGUCUCUGCAGUCUGCACAGUGAGCAGCUCUUCAGUCUGGACCAUCAGCAGCCGGUGUGUCUCGUCUGUCUGCACACAUAUUAACAUUUACCCACGUGAGAAAUGGACUCUUAUUUCUGCAGCUCUUUCCCGUCUACUGACCGCUCAAAGCUGCUUUACAACAACUCAACAGUUUCACACAUUCACACAAACUGCUCAUCAGGAGAAAUUUGGGGUCCAGUAUCUUGCUCAAGGACACUUGGACAUGCAGCUUGGAGGAGCUGGGAAUCGAACCAGUGACCUUCCAAUUUCUAGACGACCCGCUGUGGCUCCUGAUCACAAACAGGAGCUUACUUGUGUUCGUGAUUCAGUUUUAUCAUCCUGUUUGUAAACUAAUGUCUUCAUUUAAAAAAUGUUCUGCUUUUACCUGAAUAAUUAAUAAUUCUAAGUGUAAAAAUUGGUGGAGUUAACCUUUUAGAACCAUCAUGUCUUCGUUAUUUUACACAUUUUCACUGGUGUCACAUGAUUUAAGCUCAGGUAGAGGAGUGUUUGUACUGUUAGUACUGUUUGUCAGAUAGUGGGAGGAGAGAGAAGCAGGGGAGGGGAAAGGGAAGGUGCGGUAAAGUUCUUUAUCGACGCUGUAUGUCAAAACGAAAGCAAAGUUGAAAUCCUGUUUGAGUCAGUGUGAGGCUGAGGGAAGUGGCCCCGCGUGUGAGAGAGAGAGAGAGAGGCUUUUAAAAAAGCUUUUAUAACAGAACUUCUUUCAAAAGAAUUCUAAAUGUUAAAAACAGACUGGAAACACAACUCCUCCUCCUCCAAACAGACGAGACCUCAUGAAAACGCCACAUCUUGAUCAAAACAUCCAGACUCUUCCUUAGGUUUUAAAAAUGUAAAUCAAUAAAAGCUCUUGUCCAAACUAAGGCAAUGAAAA